RNAcentral lists this ribosomal RNA (253 nucleotides) under uncultured bacterium. RNAcentral's name for it is "partial 16S ribosomal RNA". It matches the Rfam family "Bacterial small subunit ribosomal RNA", at positions 524 to 776 of the family's 1533-position model. The record is from RNAcentral.
UACGGAGGGUGCAAACGUUGCUCGGAAUCAUUGGGCGUAAAGCGCACGUAGGCGGCCAAUCAAGUCGGGUGUGAAAUCCCUCGGCUUAACCGAGGAAGUGCAUUCGAAACUGACUGGCUUGAAUACUCAAGAGGGUCUCGGAAUUCCCGGUGUAGAGGUGAAAUUCGUAGAUAUCGGGAGGAACACCAGUGGCGAAGGCGGAGACCUGGGGAGAUAUUGACGCUGAGGUGCGAAAGCGUGGGGAGCAAACAGG